Molecule: non-coding RNA, 6715 nt
Organism: Anas platyrhynchos (mallard)
Lineage: Eukaryota; Metazoa; Chordata; Aves; Anseriformes; Anatidae
Source: RefSeq, a predicted model, not a curated record
GAUAUAGCAGCUCACAAGGUACUGACUCAGAAUAGAGUCUCAUAUGGUAAUUGAUAUGAAAACUAAACAUUAGACUUGUAAGCAUCAGUGAAGUAUGCAGAAGCCAUCAAAAUUAACUGUUCUUGAGUGUAAACUGUUGAAAAGCUAAAUCUCUUCAGGGAAGGAUUUGUGCAAGUGCAGUAUUCUUCAGGGAACCAUACAAAUCUGCAUUGCAAUAGCCUGUUUCCUGAGGUUUCCUUAGGGAUCAGAGAGAGUUUAUAGAAAAGUUGUGUUUCUUGUAGCUGUACUGCCUGUACCAGCUGCACAAAAUUCCUUCUUGAAUGACUACAUUCCAAAGAAGUAAUUGCAGAAAAUUCUCAGAUUCUUAUUUUCAUUUCCUUUAGUAGUUCUGUAGAGACGACUUUUCUUUAAUAAAUACCCAACCACUGCACAUGUAACGACAGAAAAUGAUGUGAAUGUAUCUGCAUAUUUAUUCUUUACACUGAGGAUGCAUGCUGUAUGCUACUUAAUUGCAAGAACGUAUGUGAUUUUUAUGAGAAGUGCUAAGAAGAGCAUCGUAAGAUUGAUUUAAUUUGUGCAUGUGUUUGGUGAAAUGCACAAAGGGAAACACUGGAAGCCUUUAGUACAAGCAAGAGCUUGCUCUGUGAGGAGGGACUGGAUACCUAAGACUAGAGAGACCAGGGAUUUCGUUUCUCCUAUUAUCUUUUCUAGGGUUGCUGCUUGGGAGUGCUUACCAACAUAGAAAAAAGGUCUUUUCUUUCAAAGCAAUAGCACAAUAAAAGAAAGCAAAACCUGACCUCAUUUGUUGGCAGCACUGUCGAGAUGAACUGCAGCUCUGACCUAUUUCUCCAGCGGUACAAUUAUCUGCUGUAAUGGUACCACUUUACUUCUCAAAUCCGGGAUUACAGUACUGUGAGAUUUAGAGAAGUUACUCUUUCUCUAGUUGCAGGCCUUGUUACUUUGGGGACAAGCUAGUGUGAAGGGUGAAUGGAUGGAAGGAGUAAAGACAAAGCAUGUGAUCAGGUCAUUGUAAUGUCUUUAUAAUUUUCACGUGAAUGCAUUUUUUUAAUUUAUUUGUAUGUGUACACUCAUAGCAUUUUGUUUAUAUACACAUUAUCUCUAUAUACAAAUGUGCAUGUAUAUAUAGAGAGAGACAAUAUCCUUGUAUAUACGUGUGUAGCAACACAAAAUGUACUAAACUGAGUUCAUGUGGUGAGGGAUUUGGGUUUUGUUCAUUUGUUUGGCGGAUAUGAGAUGUGAUCAGCCUCUACACAACAUGGGAGCUGUAAGAAAUCAAGUUCUUAUAUACUCAGGACUCAACCCCUCUGUGACAGGAGUUGACACAGCUGCCUUAAAGUCAAUUUAAUACCUGUUUAAACCAAUGGAAGGAAAUCGAGUUACAUUAGGAACUGGUGUUUAUAAUCUGAUAUUUAUCUCUUUGUUUUAAUAGCAGUGUAUCCAAUCUUACAAAACAAACUUCUUUUCUCUGAGCUUCCUUUCUUUCUUUCUGUGUCACCAAACUGAAUAGAAAAUGUUCUUAUGAAGUCAAUUUUUCUUAGUAAGGUUUCAGUCUUCAGGAACAUAUUCAUAUUCUUUGUUUUUUCACUUGGGAUACUGUUCACAGUGUUCACAGCAACACUGAGCUGGUAACAAACAUUGAGUACUGCCAAGCCCAGUCAUGCAGAAAUCGUGAAUUAGGAUCUCAAAAGCAUAUGAUUAGCUUGAAAACCAUGUUUUCAGGAAAAAAAAAUAUAAAAAAAAAAAAAACUUUUCAUUUAGCCUCUGCUUUUUGGUACAUUUUAAGCUUUGUCCCAACUCAGAAAUGCUGAUAGAAUACUUAACACAAUCAUACACAAACUGUUAUGAACUUAACUGUCCAGUCUCACCAGUAUAACGCAUAGUUGAGUCAGGCAAUUAAUUUUGCAAAGGUUGGACUUAUUUCAUGUGAUCAUCUUAUUUUUGUCUGCUUUCAGUUUAAUGGAAAAGUGUUGCUUUUUUUAGACACAGAUCUACUCCAUGCAGGGUGAUCAAAUAAAAUGGUUGUUCAGUACUUGUUUUUGCCCCGUUGCCUUUCAUCCCUGUCAGGAUGAUGCUAGGAGCACCGUCCACAGAAUACAUGAAUUUUAAAGAGAGAAAGCCUUUCAAGGGUUGCAGAAGGCUGAGUUCAAGCAAGGAUAAGAAAGCAAACUAUAACUUGAGCUCCUCUUAGAGAGGGGCCUCAUUUGUUUUUUGAUUCCAAUCUGAAGUCAUUAAGUUUUGCUGCAAGGGGAAUGGUACUCAAUGCAGUUUUGAGGAAGACAUUUAUGGUUCCAUCCCUGGAGGGCUGACACGCAGGCUAAGCAUCUGCUGGCAUCAGCUAAAUAUGCAGGGGAGAAUAAAAGUAUUUGGAGGAGCAUUAGGAUGAGUUUUGGCCGAGGCAGCUAAGAAAGAUGAAAUAUUGCUGUUAUUUAAAUUACUCAAAGAAAUCAUCUCCUCUCCUUUUCCAUCAAGGUGGCGAAGAAGAGAUUCAUAUUCUGCUAAUGGAAAGUUUUGGAACAGAAGUGAAUGGGAAAUAUUGCCAUAGUUUGCUCAAAAAUGAGACAAAACAUUUUCAUUAUUCCUCAGGGACUUUUAUUCAGAACAUGUAAGAGCUGAGAUUGAGAAGGUGAAAGCAGCAAUACAACUGGAGUCCUCUUUCCACAUUCUGGCAAUCUUUAUGCCAUGGCUGAACUUCUUCUUUUACAGAUUGUGGAUACCCAACUGAGCUGCUACUGUGCAGAGAAGUGCUGGUUGAGACUGAGGAACAGCCCAUGGAUUGCAGUUUCCACUAACAGGCCCAUUCAUGAUGACUGGCAAACAAGACCACUUGUUCUGGAAAUAAGAAGCUUGUCAAGAGGGUGUGCCAGACAAUUAGACAUACAAAAGAUCCACAACUUGCUCCAUGAAGAGUUAGCCAUAAAUGUGAAAGUGAGAAUACAUAUAUCUGUAGGAUAGGUAAAAAGGGACUAAAGAACUCCACAAACAAGAAACACACAAACGAAGACCUGAAUCAAUACUCACUCAUGCCCAUUAAUUAUGCACUCAUUUUGUACUAAUAUUAAUGCCACCUGCAUUGAGCAAUGAUGAUAGUACAUCUAGCUACAAACAGCUCUCUGUAUAUACAACUGAUCGAUGUUUUUCCUGGGGUAUGAUAAACUGAGCUUUCUCAUUGGCACCCAAUAAAGCUGCCUAUUAAUCCUAAUUGUGAUGGAGGCUUAUGUAUGCCAUUCCCUUCUGUCUGAUGGGAGCGAGGCGAAGGUCACGGCUUGUUUAGUUCCAGUCGGUGAAGGGCCAUUACAUAAGAGUUGCUUCAGUCACUGUCAGCACGGGCUAUAUUUGGACGACUGUAACCCAAAGGCCUGUCUUCCUUCACUCGCUCUGUAAGCCAUCCAGUUGCUCAUCCGUGCUUAUUCUGAAUAAUGAUGAUGAGCAGAAUAAUUACUGAAAUUGCUGGGUUUGCCCCGUGCCUGAAAAUGCUCUCAUUUGGUCAGAUGUCUCGCUGUGAAAUUCCUCUCUCCCAUGCAAGCAAGGGAACGCUGCAGGACUGGGCUGCUGGACGCACUUGCCCUCGAGUGACCCAAAUGGGAGCAAUAUGCAGCCACUUGGCACACUGGGUAUGGCUGGAGAGAACGCAGGCAGCUAAGUUAAAGGACUGAUGGGAUCAUCUUUAAUUUGCUCUGUAAACAGAGAACAGUAAAGAUCACUACAGUAGCCUUUUGUGCCAUAUAACCAGCGAGAACAAAUAUCAUGUUACAUACAGCUGAUACAUAGUGGUCGCAUUCCCAGCUGCGCCCUUAUCAAGAUGGCUGUGACAAUAGAUGUUCUGUGGAGCUGGAGAUAACACAGUAAGGAAAUGUUGGGAAAUGCUGGCACUCUUGCAAAUGAUUAUAACAAAACCAAAAGGAAAGAAGAAAGAGUUUCUUGUACUACUGAUUUACAUUUUGCAAAGUAACUCUACUUGGAAAGGAAACCCAAACUUCCCUUAUUCAAAUAGUUUUGUUCCAGUGAACUGCUACAGACAAUUUGCACUUAAUUCAAGGAAUCACUUUUACUUGGUAUUUUCUGGCCAGUAACUAAGUGUAUAUUUGUUGCUCUGAGUAUUCUUAAGUAUGCUGAGUGCAAUGUGCAAAGACAUAAGAAAUAGCAUUCUGACAAAAUUAAGUUGGUCUGCUGGCUAGCUGUUUGGAAGUUUUAUGUACCAUCAUUCUUACUCAUUUUUCUCUUACUAUUAGCACUCCCUGCUGUCUAGGUCACUAAACCAGUUACUCCAUUUCUCCUCCACUUAUAUUUAACCCCUCCACAAGACUUUGGACCGUGUUCUUCUCAGAAGUCAGCCUUUCCAGUCAAUGUUGUCUCAACACUAGCCUAUGCACUGGUUGUUUCAAGAUGCCCCCUAUUCUGACCAAAUCUUUUCUCCCCUCUUCCAUUCAGUCUGUCCAAACUGUUGCCAUCAAGAUAUUUUCCAUUUCUCUGAGAAUAUUGUCCUGCUUCUAAAAUCUCAACGUUGACCUAUUUCCACUCUAAAAUUCAAACAUGUUUCUUUUCUCAGCUCUAAAUGACUUCAUUGCUACUUGGAUCUGACCUCAUCUCCUCUUGGAAAGCCAUUUAGUCUCUGAUGUUGGGAGUGUCUGUGGUGGGGAGCAAGGGAUGUUAUAAUUGAUUUCCUUCUUUAACUUUCUUCAUUAACAGGGUGCUCUGAAUCUUAACGUACUGAAGAUGAAAUUACUUUCAGCCACCUCCCUCAUUUGUUUUGGAAGUGUCUGGAAGUAUUUACAGAACGAUCACCAAAAAGCAUUCAGAGUGAAGAUUCAGCACUACUUAAAUGACUGCACACAAUUUCUACCAAAUUAAAUGCAUCUUGAACUAUAUUCUACAUCCUUGAACCUCUGUUCCUGGUUAGCCCAGCCUGGGGUUGUCCUCCGUUGUGAUAACUGGCAGUAAUACCAGCGGGCAUUUAUUUGGGUGACUUAGGAAUAACUGAAGAGCAUCAUCUUCUUACCAUUCCUUUUCACUCUCCUCCCAUUCAACAUCUUGUGGAGCUGCAGCAUCUUGUGGAUCAACAGAGUGCAAUUAAUUCAUAAUCCUGGAGAUACUGAGGUUGUCACAGUUUGCUUUUCCAGAUGCAUAUAUUUCUUCUGAACUUAUAGGAUAACAUGAAAAUAAGACCUCUUACCACACCAGGAAAAAAAAAAAAAGCAUCUAUUUCUUGGAGUCUAUUACCAUUGAACCAAAAGUAAGAACCCCCUGGGAACUCUGGAGGCAGAUACAUUUACCCUGGGUCCUGCCGACAUCUGAUCACACAGGCCCCAAAGCUGAUGCUAAAAUUUCCAGAAACAUUUGGGAAGCAACCACAGAAAUCAAACAAACUGAGCCCUCGAAGAGCAGUAACAGGAAGCUACAGAAGCCCAUCUGAGCCAGCACUCACUUGUCAGCAUGGCUUUUCUCCUCCCUUUCAAGCUUCCACUGGACAUGCUGCGUCGUCCAGCACAGCACCUCCAAAAUUGCUGGGCAUUUUGUUCACACUUCAGAGGCCUGAAGCCUCCUGCAACUCUGCAAGAUAGAUUGCAAUGACCCUGCAGCAGUGUCUCACCGAAAUGACUGAUCUACCUGUAUUGGUCAUCUCUAGUUUCCCCAAAGUGGUUUAAUUAUUUGUGCACGUGAAAUGAGCAUUGUCAACAGAAACAUUAUACAGACAAUCUAGAGUCUUACACAGGCAGGAUUUCAUGAGCCAUUUUCAAAAAAAAAAAAUGUGUAGGGAGGUUACAUGCCCUGACCAGAUGGGUUUUGUUGUUUCUUGUUCUUUACCUUUCCUUGGAGGUGCUUUGUCAACCUGAUGCAUCUCCCUGACAUCUUCCCAGAGCUGGCUCUUCUACAUGGGAGACUCACUCCUUCUCAAAGAGAAGUGGGGAGGAAUUUAAUAAGGUCUGGGUCUAUCUUUGUUUCAGGGAAAUUUGUAACAGAUACUUCUGUAUUUGUCACAUGUAUGUUUCAGACCAGAGCAUUUUUUUUUUUUUUGUUAAUGUUGGAAGCUCUCAGCAAAGCCUGAAAGUUAUUAUAUAUAAACUAUAAUGUUAGCCAGCUGAUUGGGACAAAAAUCCAGGCCACUUAAACAGCAUCUUGGAAUCAUUCAAAUUUAAUUCUUGAAAUUAACAUCAAAGCCAUUUUUGAUGUCUGAAAAGAAUUAUUAAUUUUAUUUUUUUGUGCUUAUCUGUUCCUCACUGUACCCUCUAACAACACCAUAAUAGUGUGCAUAUGUGUGUGCACACACCCUGAUAUAUCCUUAGUGGGAUAUCAGCUCCUAGAUCUUGUAUGUAGCACAUAUGUGUAAGCAGUCUGCAGGCUAGUGAGGUCUCGCAUAAGUCGGUCCGGGUGCUUUUGUGGCUCUCAUGCCCAGAAGAGAAAUGUGGUCUGGAGAAAUCCUGUGUUCUGCUACUAAAUGACUUUUGAGAUUCAGCAGUAACCUUGGCAGACUGGAAGUUAGCCUGGCUGCUUAAGAAUAUUUAUAGCUCAACAUGUCCAGGCUGUUAUCUUUACCAUGCUCACCAGGUGAUCCACUGAAAACAGGGAAAAGAAAACUAUUAAAUUUAGUAGGUAUUAGGCUAAAUCCUUAUUCAAUUCAGAAGGGAAAGGUGAUUUGCCUACAGAGGAAUGUAACUGAUGAUGAAAAUAAUAAACCAGCUGCUAAAUGGCUCAGUUC